RNAcentral lists this ribosomal RNA (273 nucleotides) under uncultured bacterium. RNAcentral's name for it is "partial 16S ribosomal RNA". It matches the Rfam family "Bacterial small subunit ribosomal RNA", at positions 523 to 796 of the family's 1533-position model. The record is from RNAcentral.
AUACGAAGGUCCCAAGCGUUGUUCGGAUUUACUGGGCGUAAAGCGUGCGUAGGCGGCAAGGUAAGUCAGAUGUGAAAUCCCGGGGCUCAACCCCGGAACUGCAUCCGAUACUGCCUUGCUAGAGUAAUGGAGGGGCAUCUGAAUUCAUGGUGUAGCAGUGAAAUGCGUAGAUAUCAUGAGGAACACUAGUGGCGAAGGCGAGAUGCUGGACAUUUACUGACGCUGAGGUACGAAGGCCAGGGUAGCGAAAAGGAUUAGAAACCCUAGUAGUCC